UGCACCUACGGGGCGCAGCAGUGAGGAAUAUUGGUCAAUGGGCGGGAGCCUGAACCAGCCAAGUCGCGUGAGGGAAUAAGGCCCUACGGGUCGUAAACCUCUUUUGCCGGGGAGCAAGGGCCGGGACGCGUCCCGGCCCGGAGAGUACCCGGAGAAAAAGCAUCGGCUAACUCCGUGCCAGCAGCCGCGGUAAUACGGAGGAUGCGAGCGUUAUCCGGAUUUAUUGGGUUUAAAGGGAGCGUAGGCGGGCUUUUAAGUCAGCGGUAAAAAUUCGGGGCUAAACCCCGU
Molecule: ribosomal RNA, 288 nt
Filed under: uncultured bacterium
Lineage: Bacteria
Description: partial 16S ribosomal RNA
Rfam family: Bacterial small subunit ribosomal RNA
Source: RNAcentral